Non-coding RNA from Mycena rebaudengoi, 94 nucleotides. NCBI's taxonomy places the organism in Eukaryota, Fungi, Basidiomycota, Agaricomycetes, Agaricales, Mycenaceae. The record is from the annotation of a GenBank genome assembly.
GCACCGGCGGUGCAUGGUGCACUUUCCUGUUGAAUAUGAGUCACAGACGUGCACUAAAUUAGGAAUGAGCGGGGUUCGAUUCCCCACCGGUGCC